Molecule: ribosomal RNA, 471 nt
Filed under: uncultured bacterium
Lineage: Bacteria
Description: bacterial SSU rRNA
Rfam family: Bacterial small subunit ribosomal RNA
Source: RNAcentral
AUGGCUCAGAAUCAACGCUGGCGGCGUGCCUAACACAUGCAAGUCGAACGAGAAAGUGGUAGCAAUACCAUGAGUAAAGUGGCGGCACGGGUGAGUAACACGUGACUAACCUACCCUGGAGUGGGGGAUAACUAAGAGAAAUCUUGGCUAAUACCGCAUAACACCUACGGGUCAAAGGAGCAAUUCGCUUCAGGAGGGGGUCGCGGCCGAUUAGUUAGUUGGCGGGGUAAUGGCCCACCAAGACAGUGAUCGGUAUCCGGCCUGAGAGGGCGCACGGACACACUGGAACUGAAACACGGUCCAGACUCCUACGGGAGGCAGCAGUGGGGAAUUUUGCGCAAAUGGGGGAAACCCUGACGCAGCAACGCCGCGUGGAGGAUGAAGUACUUCGGUACGUAAACUCCUUUCGAUCGGGACGAUAAUGACGGUACCGGAAGAAGAAGCCCCGGCUAACUUCGUGCCAGCCGCCGC